UAGCAAUACAGUGGAAAGUCUAGCGGCGAACGGGUGCGUAACACGUGGGCAAUCUGCCUUAAAGUGGGGGAUAGCUCGGCGAAAGCCGAAUUAAUACCGCAUGUGAUUACGGUAGACAUCUACCGGACAUCAAAGUCGGGGCAACCUGACGCUUUUUGAGGAGCCCGCGGCCUAUCAGCUUGUUGGUGAGGUAACGGCUCACCAAGGCUUUGACGGGUAGCUGGUCUGAGAGGACGACCAGUCACACUGGAACUGAGACACGGUCCAGACACCUACGGGUGGCAGCAGUCGAGAAUUUUUCUCAAUGGGGGAAACCCUGAAGGAGCGACGCCGCGUGGAGGAUGAAGGUCUUCGGGUUGUAAACUCCUGUCAUUUGGGAACAAGUCGUACGUAUUAACUGUACGUGCGUUGAUAGUACCAGAAGAGGAAGAGACGGCUAACUCUGUGCCAGCAGCCGCGGUAAUACAGAGGUCUCAAGCGUUGUUCGGAUUCAUUGGGCGUAAAGGGUGCGUAGGUGGCGCCGUAAGUCAGGUGUGAAAUUUCGGAGCUUAACUCCGAAACUGCAUUUGAUACUGCGGUGCUUGAGGACUGGAGAGGAGACUGGAAUUCACGGUGUAGCA
Molecule: ribosomal RNA, 620 nt
Filed under: uncultured Verrucomicrobiota bacterium
Lineage: Bacteria; Pseudomonadati; Verrucomicrobiota
Description: bacterial SSU rRNA
Rfam family: Bacterial small subunit ribosomal RNA
Source: RNAcentral